GCACAAUCGUUAAAUGGUUAGAUCUUUGGU
RNAcentral lists this non-coding RNA (30 nucleotides) under Mus musculus (house mouse). The record is from RNAcentral. Lineage: Eukaryota; Metazoa; Chordata; Mammalia; Rodentia; Muridae.